Molecule: small nucleolar RNA, 133 nt
Organism: Camelus dromedarius (Arabian camel)
Lineage: Eukaryota; Metazoa; Chordata; Mammalia; Artiodactyla; Camelidae
Gene: SNORA70
Rfam family: Small nucleolar RNA SNORA70
About the family: snoRNA U70 seems to be exclusive to mammals and is a member of the H/ACA class of snoRNA which contain H (ANANNA) and ACA box motifs. H/ACA box snoRNAs are involved in the conversion of uridines to pseudouridines (5-ribosyluracil) a constituent of structural RNAs (transfer, ribosomal, small nuclear, and small nucleolar).
Source: Ensembl
UUGCAGCCAGUUAACCCCACCAUGCUCUUUUCUCCGUGGGGCCUGGAGCGCAGUGUCUGCAAACAGCAGCCUCCACGGUGGUGUGUGCAGCCUGCUACCUGCAUGGGUCACCCUAAGGGACCCGGAGACGGCC